GUCAAUGGUUACUUUGAUCAGAUUCGCGCGAUCAUCAUUGUCUUUCAUCGUCUUUUUAUUUAUUUAGGUUAAAGGUAAAUCUCGACUGCAUCUUACCCGAAGCGGUUCGCGAGUUGAUAAAAACGCGGACGAGAUAGGGUGGUUGUACGCGUACACUCGUUUACGGAUGUUUACGGAUUUAAGCGAUCCCUAAAGCAAAGCUUAAAUAUGAGGAUUCCUUACAGCGUUCCCAAGAACGUUUUUGAAGCGUACAGAUGUUCGCACGAAACAACGCGUUUAACCAACGAACGCGAAAGAAGCAUUCGAGCGGAAGAUGAAUUCUGGGACGAGAGAAACGUUCCAAGCUUGAAGACCCUCGCUCUUCGUGUCAUAGCCUCAUCGUGGAAGGACAACCCUAUAUUAGAAGAACUACCGACCUGCGAAGAUAGACAUAUGCUCAUGGAAAUUCUACCCGUCGAUUUGCCGUUUAAACUGACUAUUAGGAGAAUCGAGGAUGAACAGUAUUGGGCACGAUGCUCGAGAACCAGAUGGGAGCACAACAAUCCCGCUGAACACGGCAAUUCCUGGCGACGACUCUACUGCGAGGGCCAUCUUUGCGAAUAUUUCGAGAAUCUAGAGCCAAGUUACUUCGAAUCUCAGCAAGAGGAAUGCGAAGAAACGAUCCGACUUGUGAGAAAUUACGUGCACACCUUAGCACUGCGUUCUCUUCGACCUACCAAAAAACGUACGAUUCUAUUGGACGACGAGGAUACGUGUACAGAAGAGGAUAAUAUCGUGCAUCAUAUCCCUUUUGCGACGAUUCUACCUCGGCUUCCUCGUCUCACCGAGAUUCGCAUUAACUUCGGAGUGAUUUACACGAACGACGGCUUCGAAUGGCGAGACUUCGAAUUCUCCGUAGAAGAUUGCUUGGGCCUUGGAAAAGGGAUCGAAGCUUGUCCGACAUUGAGGAGAUUCACUCUGUCGAGAAGCAAUUUGGAUCAACCACGUGCCGCGGCUUUACUUCAAGGGAUAUUGGCCAACGAUCAUAUAGAGGAGUUAGACUUCUCGCACUGCAAGUUGGCAGACAAAGGAGCCCAUGCUGUUGGAGAAUUUCUACGAAUGCACAAGGGUUUGAAGGUCCUACAUUUGGCUAACAACGAUAUAGGACCGGAUGGUGUGGCAGGGAUAAUGUACGGAUUGCUUAAAAGAGAAGACGCUUCGAUGCUGAACGAUCUAAAUUUGAAAUUGAACCCACUGCUGGACGAUGGAGUGGUUCACAUAUGUUCCUUUCUAUUACGAAGUGACAGUUUAGAAGUUCUCGACUUAAGCGGCUGCGGAAUAACGGCUGACGGAGGUACAGCCUUAGCCGAAGUAUUGGGUUCUGGUUCUACGAAGUUCCGAACUUUUAGCCUCGACGUGUCCAAUAAUGAUUUUAACGAAACAGUUGGCGAGGCAUUCGAGGCUGCAUCAAGGUCCGCUGCGUUUAUCAUCGGUUUCACCGCUCGAAUGUGUAAUUUCUCUAAACAAUCGGAGCUGUCUAUCUACGAGAACGUGCUCAGGAAUAGGAAGAACAGGAAGAAGGAAGAAGCGAAACGCAUGAUGCUCGAACAACUAGAAAAACCAACGACGACCACCGACGAUUCCUCGCUAUCGUUAGUUUAGUUGAAAACCGCUUAAAAAUUUCUUUAAAAAUAACAGAUUUAUAAAUUUCGACGUUUCUAAAUGGAAAAAUUUGUUAAUUUGAAAAAUGUUGCGCAACCGAAUAUUAUUUUUCCUCGGGCAUUAAAUUUGCCCGUCGCUCUUUCGGACCGCUUCUCGUUUCGUGACUGUGAACGGGUAAAGGGUUAAAGAUACAUAAGAUAACGAGAAUGACCAGUGUAACGGAGUAGCACCGGUGAAAAAGAAGCGGCAACAAAAGAGCAACGAAACGGGGGUGCAGCUUCUUCCAGGAAGUUACGCGAAUGCCUUAGCAAGCGUGACCGAACUCGAAAGAAGCGAUCGAAACACCGAUGGAAAUGCUUGAAAAGUAUUUUAUAAAAUGACGGAGUUAAACGAAGAAGGGACUAGUACCUCCUAGGAACGUCAGAUUCUUCAGUGAAGAGCUACUCAACUUAUAGUUCUCGUUAACCGGUGCUUACGGCUUCGUCGUUUUCCAUACGAGCAACUCUUUCUUCUUAUCGCCAGAAGCAUUUAUACACAUACUUUUCCCUGCUAAAUGUCUCCGAAAUUCUUCACUUAUCGUUCACUUAUCGUUCACUUAUCGUUUACUUAUCGUUCCUAUAUUUUAUUCGAAAUAUUUCAAUGAUUUAUAUUCGAUACGUAAGCAUGUACCGUUAACGGAUUGUCAAUCUUUACGUAUAAUGGGAAAAUGUGUGCGACAUUCGCGUGAUCGAUACGAACGUGAUCAAACAUAAAUUGCACGAAAAAAAUAAGAAAACGGUAUCGAUCGAAACAGGCGAGCAGCACGGUUCGAUCACGCAUACAGAAGUUCGUCAGAAGCUUUCGAGCUGACAACUUGAUAUCCCUACUUAACUUCAUUUAUCUUUUGUCACGACCUUUACACGUAGCUUUCCAACAGUAAGGAUCCUUCCGAUUUCCCUAAACGUCAAGGUCCUGUCCUCGACUCCAACCUAGGCCUUCUUCGAUUUCCAUUAGAUACGAACACUGUACGGUACUGUACAACCUUAAAUAGAAUCGAGUUCAAUAGGACGUGCUAAUGCUCCUCUAACCUUUACGCUUUCAUUGAAAAAAAGGAAAAAAAGGAAAAAAGGGGAAAAAAGUGGAAGCUCGUAUCUAAGAAGGUUAAGUCAGGCCCGAGCAAAGAAAACAAGGGAAACAAUGAAGGCUUCUUCGAUAUCUGUGACAAAGAGACGGAUGGUGGUUGCAUAUAGCAAUCGGUAAAACUCAUUCGAUAUUCCGCGUUUAGUCGUAAUAAACCAAGUACUCUUAGGUACUAGGAAUUUUUUAUUGAAGAUUGCAUUAAAUGGUCAUUGGGUACCGUUCCGAGCGUACUUAUUUCGUCUUUUUUUUUCUAGUCGCCGCCAACCCUGGCGCCGACUCUCGAAAACGAUCGAAAAGUUGAAUUUCGCAGUCGCUCAUGAGCUGAAAGCAACUGAAAACGCGUAUCGCGAAAAAAGCAUCGGACUUUCCUCGCCAGUUUCUUAGAUGUUUUAAUUGCGCUAUUUCGCUGCAAUACACUUAGCACUCGAGCCAAGUUUGAAAAUUGUGUCAAGAGAGUGCGUUUGCAGGGACAAAAGAAUCACAGGACAUUUCACGGGGACACGAAUCUUGGUCAGAAUUGGAAAAAAGAUACUGGUAUACCGUUAGGGGAUAUCGUCGUUCGAAUAAAUUACCGAUUAAAAAGACCGACAUCUUCGAACGCUCCGAAAUCGAUAAUUAUAUCGUACGCGAAAGAAUUUGAAGAGAAAAAGGAAAAAAUGAAUUACUCGUUUUCUGACCGGUUGUAUCAUGAUUCUUUCGAUUUUUCCAAAAGUAAAUAACGCGUAUCGUUAUCGUUCGCUCGCAACAACAAGAUCUCGCAACGUUUCACGAAAUAGUAAUCGUCCUGACAUACUUUUAGACUGGCAAGAGCAUAAAAGCUGGAUCGAUAUCUAACGGGCAAGUGUGCCUGGUUGGAGAAAAACGGCGUGAAAGGUCUUAGGUUGGUUAGGUAGGCACGUAAUCCGCAAAUUUGAUCGGCGACGACGAGAAACGAGACGAAACGAGACGAAACGAGACGAAUCGUGUCUUCCGAAUAUUCGAUUUAUCGAACAUACAUAUAUGUAGAAGAAUGCCAGAUUAGUUAGCACGAAACGUACAGGUGGUUCGGCCACGAUUCGAAACUCGUUUGUUCGCGAAGGGAAGAGAGCUGCAUCUCCCUCAUGCAAGAACAAGACACCGAACCGCUUAAAACCUCCUGAAAAUCAAUCGAAAAAGAAGCCUUUACGAACUUUUUCCGCUAAUCUGACGUUUCUGUUUGCCAAGACUUCGAGUGGGAACGGUUGCUCGUUGAAAGACGGCCAAAACUACCCUCUUCCGUUUCUGUCGAGGAAUUAAUAAAACCGAAGCACCGAGAAGAAACGGUGUUGUUUCGCUGAUUAGUCGUUUUUCUACCUACCUUUGGCAUCGUUCGCAUCCUUCUUACCUCGAUAGUGAUCGAUCAUUCGCCACGCGAUCGCUUUAAUCGGUCAGUUGGAAAUCGAUCAUUUACACUUUCUAUUCGAGUGGUGAAACUGUGCCGCCUUCCUUUCAUCGAAAGCAUUUUAAACACGCUCGACCGAGAAUCAUUUGGAAAUUCUUCGAGUUGGUCGAAUGUGAAAAUUCAACGCGCUUCCGGUCGAUAGAAGGAUCGUAGCGAGUCGUAACCCCCGAUAUUUGCUUUCGGCCGAAAGCAACGUCAACCUUGAAGCAAGCUGCGAAGCAGCACCCUUGAAACGCUACGUGAAUAUUUUACGACCGACUAACGUGGCAAUAGGCGUCUUUCUACAUGCAUACAGGCCUCGAAAUCUCUAUUCUCGCGAAAAUGCCUCUGAAAAUCCUCCUGAAAAUCCUAAUAACCUUCCUAUCAUAUCACCAGUAAUAAUACUGGUCCGUAGCCGUUUUAAUUUCGAAUAGACUUCGAAAAGACGAAUCGUUAUGUAUAGAUAUAGGAUAUGUAUGUAUACAGAAUGGAAGGAAUAAGCGAAUGGCAAAUACGAGGAAUAUUUCUAGCAAAGGUAGAACACGCCGUAUGCAUAACGGGUUAGGUGUUCGUGAGCUGUUCGAAAUAAGGUCUCGCUGGAACGUUUUGCUCGCUCUGCUUCCAUGAAUAUUCAUGCAAAUAUAAUUAUAACCAAGAAAAUUGAUGGGCGACUAGGCACGACGAGAAUACACACGAUUCGUACAGGCCCUUUGGCCGAAAGAAAAUUUAAUCGUAAACUACCGUAAUAAGGCUGAUGCGAGAUAACAGAAAUUUAUUUUAUUUAGUUUUCAUUUGUAAAUUCUCUAGUUUUAUUUUAUUCUUACUCUAAUCAAGAUUAACAAACUAAUAU
This 5009-nucleotide unclassified non-coding RNA is filed under the name Megachile rotundata (alfalfa leafcutting bee). RNAcentral's name for it is "t-complex-associated testis-expressed protein 1, transcript variant X1". Lineage: Eukaryota; Metazoa; Arthropoda; Insecta; Hymenoptera; Megachilidae. The record is from RNAcentral.